GCUCAGUGUAUCCAAGAUCCUGAGCUGCCAGGGGCCUGGCCACUCCCACCCCGAGCCCUACCUUGGCUGAGCUGGUCACCGCUGCGUGUCCCGGGCUGCCGGCCUGCCUGUCAUCUGCAGUGCACAGGACAUGAUGGCUGUGUGAGUGCCUGCCAUGGCCCACCGAAAGUGUGAGAGCGCGAGGAGCGGCAUGUUGGACCACAGAGCGAGGCCGGGCCCUGUUCCCCGUAGCCAGGAGCGAAGAUGAGGAGCUGCCCUUAGAGGACUAUGUGCCCAAGGGCCUGGAACUGGCCACCCUAUGGCCAGAGAGCCCCAUGUCCGAGGAGUAGGAGUGCUACAACCACAGCCCCGAUGGGGACUCCAGCUACGUGAACAACACCUCCAAGGAGGAGGAGGAGGGCAUCACCUACUACAUCCGCUACUGCCCCGAGGACGACAGCUACCUGGAGGGCAGGGACUUCAAUGGGGAGGAGUACCUGGCCCACGGCACACACCCCGUCAACACUGACACUUGCCAGGAGCGUCCACACUACACGCCUCCUAACUGGACCAACCAGUGAAGAGCUCAGCCACCAUUAGAACUGCAAGGCUCCCAGCCCCUCCCACCACCUCACUUCAGCAUCUGUGGGGGCUGUACCAGGUGGUCCCUUGCUCUCAGGUGCCUCUGCUACCUUCUCUGGGACAGGAGAGUCUUACUCUGGGACAGGAGAGGAGUGGCUGGACUAAGCGGGCCUGCAGCCCCAUAGCCACUGUGCUGAGGGCAGCCAGGACUACCCGGACGGCCACCUGCCCAUCCUGGACAGAGGACGAGCACUCUGUCCUGGAGGCCCACGACCAGGAAUAAGAUGGCCACGACUGUCCCAGCAAAGAGGGCUACUACCCCACAGAGGCCAACGGGAACACCGGCGCCUCCCCGUACCACCUGAGGCAUGGGGAUGGGGACCUGGAGGACCAGGAGGAGGACAUUGACCCUAUCAUGGCCAUGAUCAAGAGGAGCCUGAGCAUGACCAGCAUCACCAGCGCCAGUGAGGCCAGCCCCGAGCAUGGGCCUGAGCUGAGACCUGGGGACUCUGCAGAGGCCUGCAUGCCCAGCAAGGCCAGCUGCAGCCCCAGCAGGCACGAAGCGAAACCCAAGUCACUGAACCUCCCUCCUGAGGCCAAGCACUGUGAAGACCCCCAGAGUGGCUUCAAGCCCAAGACUAGGACCCCAGAGGAGAAGCCGAAGUGGCCCCACGAGCAGGUGUGCCUUUCGGUGAGUGUGCCCAGGAGGAGGAUGGCUGUCGAGAUGGGCAGGCACCCUCCCUGCUGUGCACCCGGCCCCGUGUCUGGCCUAGCCAGGCCCCAGCUGCAGGCUGACGUCCUGGCCUGGGCUCUGCCCACGACUGCUGCAUGCCCUUGUUGCAGUUGCUUGGCAGUGGAUGAGCCUGAUUUGCUCCACCAGCUGAGGCCCAGGCUGCAGUGGUGCUGGCCAGAGAGGACAGUUAGUGGCCUGGGACCUGCCGCAAUCCACAGCCGGAGUCAGAGCCGAUUUCCCAGUCUGCAGAGUGAGACAGUGGAUCUCAUGGUCUCCAAGGAUUCAUCCAGCUCUGUUUUCCUCGGCCCAGGGUUUGUCCUGAGGCCUGUGGCUGAUGCCCUGGGCUCCAGCCUCUCUAAGCAAGGGAGCAAAGCUGAGCAGAAGUCGGCCUCCACAUUCCUGGCUUUUUGCCUCCAUUCUGAGCUCCCUCUCUCUGGCUUCCCCAUCAGUUCUGUGCCCUUUGAGGAGGGGCUUCCCAGAGGAAGAGUUGGCCAAAAGGGGCCUUUAUGUGUGAUGUGGAAGGAGGAAGGAAAGAGGCAGCCGUUGGCCAUCCGCGGUGUCACUGGCCAGGUCUAG
This is a long non-coding RNA of Aotus nancymaae (Ma's night monkey), 1870 nucleotides long. The record is from Ensembl. NCBI's taxonomy places the organism in Eukaryota, Metazoa, Chordata, Mammalia, Primates, Aotidae.